UUGGAGGGCAAGUCUGGUGCCAGCAGCCGCGGUAAUUCCAGCUCCAAUAGCGUAUAUUAAAGUUGUUGCAGUUAAAAAGCUCGUAGUUGAAUUUCGGGAUCAAUAUUUCGGUCAUGCCGUUGGUAUGCACUGUUAUCAUUGAUUUCUCACCUUCUAAAGAACCGUAAUGCCAUUAAUUUGGUGUUACGGGGAAUUAGGACUGUUACCUUGAAAAAAUUAGAGUGUUUAAAGCAGGCGCACGCUUGAAUACAUUAGCAUGGAAUAAUGAAAUAGGACGUUCGAUCCUAUUUUGUUGGUUUCUAGGAUUGACGUAAUGAUUAAUAGGGAUAGUUGGGGGCAUUAGUAUUCAAUUGUCAGAGGUGAAAUUCUUGGAUUUAUUGAAGACUAACUACUGCGAUAGCAUUUGCCAAGGAUGUUUUCAUUAAUCAAGAACGAAAGUUAGGGGAUCGAAGACGAUCAGAUACCGUCGUAGUCUUAACCAUAAACUAUGCCGACUAGGGGAUCGGAUGAUGUUAAUUUUUAAUGACUCAUUCGGC
RNAcentral lists this ribosomal RNA (536 nucleotides) under uncultured Glomeromycotina. RNAcentral describes it as "SSU rRNA". It matches the Rfam family "Eukaryotic small subunit ribosomal RNA", at positions 548 to 1084 of the family's 1831-position model. The record is from RNAcentral. Lineage: Eukaryota; Fungi; Glomeromycota.